CGGACGGGUGAGUAACGCGUGGGCAACCCUGCCCCGCACUGGGGGACAACAGCCGGAAACGGCUGCUAAUACCGCAUAUGCGCACAGCUUUGCAUGAAGCAGUGUGGAAAACUCCGGUGGUGCGGGAUGGGCCCGCGUCUGAUUAGCUGGUUGGCGGGGCAACGGCCCACCAAGGCGACGAUCAGUAGCCGGCCUGAGAGGGUGGACGGCCACAUUGGGACUGAGACACGGCCCAAACUCCUACGGAAGGCAGCAG
RNAcentral lists this ribosomal RNA (256 nucleotides) under uncultured bacterium. RNAcentral's name for it is "partial 16S ribosomal RNA". It matches the Rfam family "Bacterial small subunit ribosomal RNA", at positions 99 to 354 of the family's 1533-position model. The record is from RNAcentral.